RNAcentral lists this long non-coding RNA (388 nucleotides) under Trifolium pratense (red clover). RNAcentral describes it as "long non-coding RNA (TPRA_LNC008482)". Lineage: Eukaryota; Viridiplantae; Streptophyta; Magnoliopsida; Fabales; Fabaceae. The record is from RNAcentral.
ACUAAAUAUAGAAUCAUGUGGGUACAAAAUCUUUUGCAAUUGCAAAUCUAACACAUUUACAUUGUUGCAGUACACAUGCUAUUCGAGUACCAAUAUCGCAAGUUCGCAACGCAUGGUUCGUGGACAAUCAGAAGCUCUGUGACAUCUAAUGCCCGCUGUAAUGAAAUAAGAACAUAAAAACUAAAAUGAGAUAAAAUAUUAUUUACCAAAAAAUGGAGGAAAUUUGGAAACAGAUGAAAAAUGGAUUACCGUUAACAUUCGUUGGAACAAGAAUUGGGAAGAGAAAGAUAAUUAUAACAUACAAAAAUUUGACAAUUUCAGCCAUAUUCCUCCACCUCCUAAUUAUGUAUGUAACAAUGUUUUUUAUCCAACUUUAUAAUUUUUAUAG